AUGGCGAUCCCGCAUAGGCCCUUCUUAUCCUUGACGUCGCGCUCCAUGCGGAUGUAUCCCAUCUCGCCCCACUCCUCACCCCACGAGUUCUUCACGACCCAGUACUUGGUGCCGUCUACGGUGGCGCCAUACCCCACCACCGCAACGCCAUGGUCCAGCUCGGUCCCGCACUCCCCGGCGAACACCCCCUCCGAAUGA
This 198-nucleotide ribosomal RNA is filed under the name Triticum aestivum (bread wheat). RNAcentral's name for it is "partial small subunit ribosomal RNA". Lineage: Eukaryota; Viridiplantae; Streptophyta; Magnoliopsida; Poales; Poaceae. The record is from RNAcentral.